UCAGAUGUGUCCCUAGAGCUGGCUGCAGCCACACCAACCUGAGAGGCAUUGCCUCUUCUCUUUUUCUAUGUUAUUCUGUCUUAUCUCUUUGUUUCUCUUGAGUUUCCUAACUGUUAAAUGUCUGAGUGGUGCAGGGAACUUCAACGUGGCAAGAUAUAUAGAAGGUGAAACAAGCGGUGCAUACAGAUUAGAGAACUUGCUUAGCAUCUUUGCUUUCACUUGGAUCAUUGUGUUAGUUCAUUUGGCCUUGUAGCUUCUCCAGUCGCUGCAAAUCUUCCAAGAUUGUGAAUUUUCCAUCUUCCACAGCAUCUCUCUCUCCAUGUUCUCUUCCUUAUUUAACAGACGCACACAAACACAAAAUGCAAUAAAGUUAAGACAGAUUAUGUGGUGCCAGAACUCUUGUUGGUUUAUACUAGCAAGUAAUAGUAUUUUAGUUUGUCGUUCAACACUAGUUUUUCAAGAACCCCAAGAGUCGAUUAUGAGCUAUACAUGGACUCUUAGCAUGUAAUAAAGUUAUACAAAGAUCAAGAGUUCCGGGUUCGAACAUGAUCUUAUUAGUAUUUCAAUAUCUUUAAGCAACGGGUUACUUGUAGAAAACUGAUCAGUUGAAGAUGGACAGGAAGAGCAGCUGCUGUAGAAGGAGCUGUGGAGGGUGAAGCCUGGGAUUGAUACCAUAAACGAAGAAGCAGCAGCAACAACUGGACAAGUGAUCAGUGAGAGUCCUGCAGCUACUCCUCAGGUGAAGCCAGAGGAUGUGAAGAAGGAAGAGGUGCCUGAGAAGGUUAGGGUCAGCGGCGGCGGUGAUUAUGACUGAACAUGGGAUUGGAAGUUUGUGAUAAUGGGGAGAGGGAAUAACAAAGUUGUCCGAGUAUUAUGGUUCAAUAUGGAUUAUGGGUAUGG
This 900-nucleotide long non-coding RNA is filed under the name Manihot esculenta (cassava). RNAcentral's name for it is "long non-coding RNA (MESC_LNC007657)". Lineage: Eukaryota; Viridiplantae; Streptophyta; Magnoliopsida; Malpighiales; Euphorbiaceae. The record is from RNAcentral.